This 1519-nucleotide ribosomal RNA is filed under the name metagenome. RNAcentral's name for it is "bacterial SSU rRNA". It matches the Rfam family "Bacterial small subunit ribosomal RNA". The record is from RNAcentral.
AGAGUUUGAUCCUGGCUCAGAAUGAACGCUGGCGGCGUGGAUUAGGCAUGCAAGUCGAACGAGAACGUUCCCUUCGGGGGAUUAGUAAAGUGGCGAACUGGUUAGUAACAGGUGGGAAACGUGCCUUCUGGCUCGGGAUAACCUUUGGAAACAGAGGCUAAUACCGAAUUCGGCUCCAAGGUCUUCGGGCUUUGUGGCUAAAGAUGCUUCUUUUAGUUGUGUCACCGGAAGAUCGUCCCGCCCCUGAUUAGCUAGACGGUGGGGUAAUGGCUCACCGUGGCGACGAUCAGUAGCUGGUCUGAGAGGAUGGUCAGCAACACUGGGACUGAGAUACGGCCCAGACUCCUACGGGAGGCAGCAGUCUAGAAGCUUCGGCAAUGGGCGAAAGCCUGACCGAGCGACGCCGCGUGUGUGAUGAAGGCCUUCGGGUCGUAAGCACUGUCGAUAGGGAAGAAGGCCUUAUAGGAGCCCCUAUAAGGAUUGACGGUACCUGUAGAGGAAGCCCCGGCUAACUCCGUGCCAGCAGCCGCGGUAAUACGGAGGGGGCGAGCGUUAUUCGGAAUUAUUGGGCGUAAAGAGCGCGUAGGCGGAUGUUCAGGUCUGACGUGAAAUCGUUACCGCUUAACGGAACGAGGCCGUUGGAAACCGGACAUCUUGAGUGCGGCAGAGGUUGGUGGAAUUCCUGGUGUAGCGGUGGAAUGCGCAGAUAUCAGGAAGAACACCGGUGGCGAAGGCGACCAACUGGGCCGUAACUGACGCUGAGGUGCGAAAGCCAGGGGAGCGAACGGGAUUAGAUACCCCGGUAGUCCUGGCCGUAAACGAUGGAUGCUAGACGUGGGAGGUAUCGACCCCUUCCGUGUCGCAGUUAACGCAUUAAGCAUCCCGCCUGGGGAGUACGACCGCAAGGUUGAAACUCAAAGGAAUUGACGGGGGCCCGCACAAGCGGUGGAGCAUGUGGUUUAAUUCGACGCAACGCGAAGAACCUUACCUGGGCUUGAACCGCGGGGUAAAGCCGGUGAAAGCCGGUCUGUCUUUUGGGACGAUCCCGUAGAGGUGCUGCAUGGCUGUCGUCAGCUCGUGUCGUGAGAUGUUGGGUUAAGUCCCGCAACGAGCGCAACCCUUGUCGUUAGUUACCAGCACGUAAUGGUGGGGACUCUAGCGAGACCGCCCGCGUAAGCGGGAGGAAGGUGGGGACGACGUCAAGUCAUCAUGGCCCUUACGUCCAGGGCUACACACGUGCUACAAUGGCGAGUACAACGCGCAGCCAGCCCGCGAGGGUGAGCGAAUCGCUAAAAGCUCGUCUCAGUUCAGAUUGGAGUCUGCAACUCGACUCCAUGAAGGCGGAAUCGCUAGUAAUCGCGUAUCAGCAACGACGCGGUGAAUACGUUCCCGGGCCUUGUACACACCGCCCGUCACACCACGAAAGUCGGUUGUUCCAGAAGUCGCUGCGCCAACCCCCUUGUGGGGAGGCAGGUGCCAAAGGAAUGGCCGGUAAUUGGGGUGAAGUCAGAACAAGGUA